AGGUAUUGAACAAGGAGGAUAGUGAUGCCAGUGACAAGGACAGGAAGGUUGAAUUGCCCUAGGUGGCUGGUAAUUUGUUGCCAAGACUAGUGAUCACGCGGGAGCCGACUCUAAAUAAUACACUUAUGCAGUUAAACAUCGAUUCCUUCGAUGAAAAUGAAAGGAGUGCUAGGAAGGCAAGAAGAAAAGGAACUACGGGCUCGAUUUCAAUCUGACAGGCAGCUUCGAUCCAUAAUUUCUAUCAACAACUCAUUCCAGGUAUUGCGUUAUGAUUAAUACACUGAUAUGAAAUAUUAGAGGGGUGUCUAAAGCGCCCAAUUUAAGAAGAUUGAUAAAAAUUAUACGAUUGCAUGGUGUUCAAUUUUUAGCAAUUUCUGAACCAAAAAUAGAUGUAUCUCGAGUUCAGUAUAUUCGCAUGAGAUUAUCAUUUGAUUAUGCAAUUGUUAACAUAUCGGAGGAUCUUUGGAUAUUCUAUAGUGCUCCAUUUAAUUGUUCGUUAGUUGGUAACUCUAUUCAGCAUAUUUCACUGUCUAUCCAACAUCCGUGGUUACCGGGGCCCAUGAUUUUUUCAUUUGUUCAUGCUAUGUGUUCGGUGGAGGGACAUUGCGAUUUAUGGCAGAAUUUAUUAUCUGAUAAACCUCGUUCCUUGCCUUGGUGUAUUGGAGGAGAUUUUAACGUCAUUGUAGAUGCCCACGAAAAACGAGGUGGGAGACCAUUUUCUAUGUCAGAAGGGUUUGAGUUUUUGACAUUCAUGGAAGAGGCCGAGAUAUUUGAUGCUGGUUUUUCAGGAUCGAGUUUUACAUGGUGCAAUAAUAGGAGGGGAAGGGCUAGAAUUUGAAAGAGGCUAGAUAGAAUCUUAAUUAAUGGAGAAUGUUCAGAUUUGGCCUCGGUUAUUUCAGUAGUUCAUUUAGCAAGACACCCGUCUGAUCAUGCCCCGAUGAAAAUUUCUUUUAAUUCAAGGCUGGACAAUGGGCCACGACCAUUCAAGUUCUUGAAUGUUUGGACGUCCAAGCCAUGUCUAUUAGAUGUCAUUAGGGAUUCCUGGACCAUAGAGAUACAAGGAUCACCCUUACGAGUUUUGUGCUCUAAGUUGUUGGCAACCCGGAGAGCGAUUCAACAAUGGAAUAAGCAGCAUUUUGGAAAUGUUUUUAAUGCUAUUAGGGAGGCUGAAGCUGCUCUUUUGAGGGCAGAGGAAGACGUGGAACAUUACGAAUCCGAGGAUGUUCACGAAGAGCUUUACAAAGCACAAGCAGAGCUUAAUAGAGCAUUGGCAAUAGAAGAACAAUUCUGGAGGCAGAAAGUUAGUGUAAAAUGGCUUAAUAAUGGGGAUCAGAAUACAAAGUAUUUUCAUGCAGUAGUCAAGCAAAGGCGAGUACAAGGGGCAAUACAUAGGGCGAAAAAUUCAAAUGGGACGUGGGUGAAGAAGGAUGAUGACAUAGCAAACGAGGCAAUUGAGUAUUUUUCUGGUCUUUUUUCGGGAUCUAUGGAUUCCAGUCCAGGGGAGCUGGUGCACUUAAUACCGACAAUGGUCACAGGAGAGGAAAAUACACGGUUGGAAGAAGUUCCAGAUAUGGAGGAUGUUCGGCGUAUGGUGUUCACCAUGGAUGGGGAGAGUGCUACUGGUCCGGACGGUUUUACGGGUAAAUUCUUUACCUUUGCUUGGGAUAUCAUUGCUCAAGACAUGCAUAGAGCGGUUAUGAGUUUUUUCUGUGGAAGUGAUCUGCCUAGAUUCAUUACUUCCACUUCAAUUGUUUUGAUACCUAAAAUUCCCAAUCCCCAGGAUUUCUCUAAAUUCAGACCAAUUAGUCUUUGUAAUUUUUUUAACAAAUUAUUAUCCAGAAUUUUGGUGGAACGUAUGGCCUCGAUUUUGCCAAGAAUUAUUUCCCCCUAACAAACAGGAUUUGUCAAAGGCUGAAAUAUUACGGAUAAUUAUUUGUUAGCUCAGGAGUUUUUUUCAGAUAUAGGCAAGAAGGCAAGAGGACGGAAUGUAACUUUAAAGCUAGAUAUGACUAAGGCAUAUGACCGGAUGUCAUGGAGGCAUAUUAUUACCAUGUUGCGCAAAUUUGGGUUUGGAGAACGAUUUAUAGAAAUGGUCUGGAGGCUUAUCUCUAAUGUUUGGUUUUCAAUUAUCAUUAAUGGAACAUCACACGGCUACUUCAAAUCUUACCGGGGGCUACGUCAAGGAGAGCCAUUAUCCCCAGUGCUAUUUAUUAUCGGAUCAGAAUUGCUCUCGCGAGAACUAAAUAAUCUACCAAUGUAGCACAAUUUUGUAGGGUUUAGAGUCCCAACGGGCUAUCCUGUCGUCACGCAUCUAGCAUUUGCUGAUGACGUGCUAAUUUUUACUAAUGGGUCUACUGCUGCUUUAAAGAGAAUUGUGCAGGUGCUCGAUGCUUACCAACAAUCCUCAGGACAACUAGUAAAUACACAAAAGAGUGGCUACUUGGUCCAUAAGGCCCUACAUGUGAUACCCCGACUUCUUUAAACCCUAAAUUCUAAUCAAAAGAAAAAAAAAAUCUAGUUUACUUGUGACUAACCGAUUUUCUUAAAUUUCUCAUUUUUAAUCGAAACCCUAAUUGUAAUCAAUGGAAUUGUAAAAUCCCGCACAUUUUUCUUAAAAUUCCUUUUAUUUGGAAAUUAUUACUUUCUAAUGGCCCUACUACUCAAUCACCCCACAACAAGUGCAAAUGAACCUAGAAAGUAGGGUUUCACUUUUCGUUUUCAAGUUAGAGCGAAUUAGGGUUUUCACGUUUUUCCGUAGUAUCACUAUUCGGUACGGAGUGAGGAUCAAAUUUGGUAGGUAAGAGUGAAUUUUGGAUGAGAAAAUAUUAUAUGAUUUGAAGUGAUAAUAAUAAGUUAGUGAUUAGAAGGUAAAAACCCUAGUAAACGUGAUUUAAGAAAAAACGGCUCGAACCGACGGGUAUCGAUUACUACCGAUUGAACCAACCACUUGACCACCACUUCCUUACCACCACAUACCCUUGAUAUUUUUGCAAAAUAUCCCCCCCUCAUCCUUAGCCAUAUGGCCGAAAAUUGUGGCCAAAAUGCAAGGAAAAAGAAAGCAAAACUUGGAUGGCUUUGGUGGUGACAAGUGUCAACCACCUAUGGUUCCUUGACCAACCUUUUGUCUCACCUUCUUAUCUUCCAUUUGAGUUCAUUUUUCCCCAUUUUCUUCUUGUUUUGGCUGAGAGCAAGGAGAGGCAAGAGAGUGAAGGGAGUUUUCAAUCUUCUACCUUGAAUCUAACCUUUUGAGUGCAACCAAGAAAAACUAAACCGAUCAAUCACUAGUUUGGAAGCUUGGGAAACUAGGGAACCAAAAAUUUCAAGGAGAGGCGAAUGAUUAUCCUAGCAAGCUCUUGUCUUGAGGUAUAAUGGCUGAUCAACCUUUCUUUCUCCAUUAAUCAUGAUUAAGUUGGGUAUUAAUGUUAGUAUUGUGCUUGUGAUGCUUGUUCCAAGUGAUUUUGAUGAUUAGAUGGAUGAUUUUUCAGUUAGGGUUUCUUGUGAGUUAGGUGUUGUAUGAUGUAUAUAUCUGGUAUAUAAUCUUGUAAAGGACAUGGUAGUGGUAGUUUCAAGGUAAAAAUAUGAAUUAUAGCUUGAAUAUAGCAAAAUUCCAGAUUUCUGGAAAUUGUAGCUUCAGUUCUGCCCGAUUCCAUUUUAUCAUGUUAGAAUCCGAAUUAGGCUUAGCACAAAACAUGAAAGUUGUAUAGAAUGAUAUUUUGUGGUUGCCUACAAAAUUUCAGCUCAAUCGGAGCAAUGUAGCCUGUGAAAAGAUGAAAAUACCCUGACUGCCCUAGGAGUCAAAUCAGCGGACAGUUUUGACAGUACACUAAGUUGGUUGCGUUUGUUCACCUAGAUACGUACUGAACUAGCUUUUAGCCAAAACAUGAAAGUUUUAGUACUUUGUCUUAGCUUUUCAACGCCUCUAAAAAUGUCUUAAACGGACUUUGUUAGCUUGAUAUAUGGCCAUUUGAAGGUAGUACGGUUAACUGGUCUAUUAGUAGAAGUUUGGUUCUGUGAAUUGGGAAUUUGACUGGGUUACACUGGAAAUUGGACUAAGUGAUUUUCAUCAAAAUUGUAGCUCUGUGUCUUAGCUUCGAAACGGUAUAAGUUGCACCUCAAUCCGAUAAGCGUAACUUCGGUUGUGUCCGUUACGCAAAAUCACGUCAAAUCUGUCUUUUGCUAGACUUCAUUUCCGCACAUGUCGUUAGCUUGAUUUUUGUACUUGUAUUACCUUGAGCCUAUUGAACGGCUAUUGAAAUGAGUUUGUUUUGUGUGUAACUUUGGGUUUGAUUGAGAAAAAAGAAUGAAGCCAUAAAUGGUCGAAAAAUAGGAAAAUGCAAAGGGCGUGCUGCCCAAAUUUACGCUCAAUGGCUAGGUAGAUACUUGCAACUUGAGUAAGGGUUAAGAGCGAUUACCACUUGAACUAUCUAGGAUAUUGGCGUCUUCUUUUAUCGAGGUAUAUUAGUGAGGAUUUGGCCGAACUUGUACCCUUGAGAAAUAAAAUCAUGACUACUAGGAGUAUGUUUUCCUUGUACUUUCGACUCAAAUGGCAUUUCCAAGUAUAAAUAUUACAAAGUUACAUAGUUUGAAAAGCGAGCGAGUGUUUCACGAAUAUUCUCCAAGUGAAUUUCCAUGUUUUGAUUUUUAUUGAACGAAACGUCUACGUUUUGAACCUUAGUCGAUUUUUAAAGUUCUGAAACAAAGUUUUAUCGCAGAUUUGGACUCCGAACCCGGAGUAUAAUCCAGACGUGAUUACUAAGGGCACUUCAU
This 4767-nucleotide long non-coding RNA is filed under the name Coffea arabica (coffee). Its description in RNAcentral is "long non-coding RNA (CARA_LNC006578)". Lineage: Eukaryota; Viridiplantae; Streptophyta; Magnoliopsida; Gentianales; Rubiaceae. The record is from RNAcentral.